AUUGAACGCUGGCGGCAUGCUUUACACAUGCAAGUCGAACGGUAACAGGCCUUCGGGUGCUGACGAGUGGCGCACGGGUGAGUAAUGCAUCGGAACGUACCCAGAGGUGGGGGAUAACGCAGCUCAAGCUGUGCUAAUACCGCAUGUGAUCUGAGGAUGAAAGCGGGGGACCGAGCAGCAAUGUUUGGCCUCGCGCCUUUGGAGCGGCCGAUGUCGGAUUAGCUAGUUGGUGGGGUAAAGGCCCACCAAGGCGACGAUCCGUAGCUGGUCUGAGAGCACGAUCAGCCACACUGGGACUGAGACACGGCCCAGACUCCUACGGGAGGCAGCAGUGGGGAAUUGUGGACAAUGGGCGCAAGCCUGAUCCAGCAAUGCCGCGUGCGGGAAGAAGGCCUUCGGGUUGUAAAACGCUUUUGGGAGGAGAGAAACGGUGUCCGCUAAUACCGGGCGCUAAUGACGGUACCUGCAGAAUAAGCACCGGCUAACUACGUG
RNAcentral lists this ribosomal RNA (492 nucleotides) under uncultured bacterium. Its description in RNAcentral is "partial 16S ribosomal RNA". It matches the Rfam family "Bacterial small subunit ribosomal RNA", at positions 29 to 507 of the family's 1533-position model. The record is from RNAcentral.